RNAcentral lists this ribosomal RNA (475 nucleotides) under uncultured Desulfobulbus sp. RNAcentral's name for it is "bacterial SSU rRNA". It matches the Rfam family "Bacterial small subunit ribosomal RNA", at positions 910 to 1382 of the family's 1533-position model. Lineage: Bacteria; Pseudomonadati; Thermodesulfobacteriota; Desulfobulbia; Desulfobulbales; Desulfobulbaceae. The record is from RNAcentral.
UUGACGGGGCCGCACAAGCGGUGGAGUAUGUGGUUUAAUUCGAUGCAACGCGAAGAACCUUACCUGGUCUUGACAUCCCGGAGACCCUUAGGAAACUAGGGGGUGCUUCCAUCUGGAAGAAUCUGGAGACAGGUGCUGCAUGGCUGCGUCAGCUCGUGUCGUGAGAUGUUGGGUUAAGUCCCGCAACGAGCGCAACCCUUGCCUUUAGUUGCCAGCAGUUCGGCUGGGCACUCUAAAGGGACUGCCGGUGUUAAACCGGAGGAAGGUGGGGAUGACGUCAAGUCCUCAUGGCCUUUAUGACCAGGGCUACACACGUACUACAAUGGCCGAUACAAAGGGCAGCGACACUGCGAGGUGAAGCCAAUCCCGUAAAAUCGGUCUCAGUCCGGAUUGGAGUCUGCAACUCGACUCCAUGAAGUUGGAAUCGCUAGUAAUCGUGGAUCAGCAUGCCACGGUGAAUACGUUCCCGGGCCUU